CUAAGAAUCUUCCGCAAUGGGCGAAAGCCUGACGGAGCGACGCCGCGUGGACGAUGGAGGCCGAAAGGUUGUAAAGUCCUUUUCUUGGUGAAGAAUAAGGGGGGUAGUGGAAAGACCUUCUGAUGACGUUAGCCAAGGAAUAAGCCCCGGCCAAUUACGUGCCAGCAGCCGCGGUAACACGUAUGGGGCGAGCGUUGUUCGGAAUUAUUGGGCGUAAAGGGCGUGUAGGCGGUCUUGUAAGCCUGGUGUUAAAGGCUCUGGCUUAACCAGAGUUUGGCGCUGGGAACUGCGGGACUAGAGUUCUGGAGGGGGAGCUGGAAUUCCAGGUGUAGGGGUGAAAUCUGUAGAUAUCUGGAAGAACACCGAUGGCGGAGGCGAGCUUCUAGCCAAGGACUGACGCUGAGGCGCGAAAGCGUGGGGAGCAAACAGGAUUAGAUACCCUGGUAGUCCACGCUGUAAACGAUGUGCACUGGGCGUUGGGGGUUUUGAUGCUCUUAGUGCCGUAGCUAACGCGUUAAGUGCACCGCCUGGGGAGUAUGCUCGCAAGGGUG
Molecule: ribosomal RNA, 551 nt
Filed under: uncultured bacterium
Lineage: Bacteria
Description: bacterial SSU rRNA
Rfam family: Bacterial small subunit ribosomal RNA
Source: RNAcentral